GACGAACGCUGGCGGCGUGCCUAAUACAUGCAAGUCGAGCGAAGUUUUUCUGGUGCUUGCACUAGAAAAACUUAGCGGCGAACGGGUGAGUAACACGUAAAGAACCUGCCUCAUAGACUGGGACAACUAUUGGAAACGAUAGCUAAUACCGGAUAACAGUAUUUCUCGCAUGAGAGAUAUUUAAAAGUUGGUUAUGCUAACACUAUGAGAUGGCUUUGCGGUGCAUUAGCUAGUUGGUGGGGUAAAGGCCCACCAAGGCGACGAUGCAUAGCCGACCUGAGAGGGUGAUCGGCCACACUGGGACUGAGACACGGCCCAGACUCCUACGGGAGGCAGCAGUAGGGAAUCUUCCGCAAUGGGCGAAAGCCUGACGGAGCAACGCCGCGUGAGUGAAGAAGGAUUUCGGUUCGUAAAGCUCUGUUGUUAGGGAAGAAUGGAUAUGUAGUAACUAUACAUGUAAGAGACGGUACCUAUCCAGAAAGCCACGGCUAACUACGUG
Molecule: ribosomal RNA, 499 nt
Filed under: uncultured bacterium
Lineage: Bacteria
Description: partial 16S ribosomal RNA
Rfam family: Bacterial small subunit ribosomal RNA
Source: RNAcentral